RNAcentral lists this ribosomal RNA (1145 nucleotides) under uncultured cyanobacterium. RNAcentral's name for it is "bacterial SSU rRNA". It matches the Rfam family "Bacterial small subunit ribosomal RNA", at positions 377 to 1533 of the family's 1533-position model. Lineage: Bacteria; Bacillati; Cyanobacteriota. The record is from RNAcentral.
CGAAGCCUGACGGAGCAAUACCGCGUGAGGGAAGAAGGCUUUUGGGUUGUAAACCUCUUUUGUCAGGGAAGAAGAAUUGACGGUACCUGAAGAAAAAGCAUCGGCUAACUCCGUGCCAGCAGCCGCGGUAAUACGGAGGAUGCAAGCGUUAUCCGGAAUUAUUGGGCGUAAAGGGUCCGCAGGUGGCGAAUAAAGUCUGCUGUUAAAGACCGGGGCUAAACUCCGGAAAGGCAGUGGAAACUGAUUAGCUAGAGUACGGUAGGGGUAGAGGGAGUUCCCAGUGUAGCGGUGAAAUGCGUAGAUAUUGGGAAGAACACCGGUGGCGAAAGCGCUCUACUAGGCCGAAACUGACACUGAGGGACGAAGGCUAGGGUAGCGAAAGGGAUUAGAUACCCCUGUAGUCUUAGCCGUAAACGAUGGAUACUAGGCGUAGCUUGUAUCGACCCGAGCUGUGCCGAAGCUAACGCGAUAAGUAUCCCGCCUGGGGAGUACGCACGCAAGUGUAAAACUCAAAGGAAUUGACGGGGGCCCGCACAAGCGGUGGAGUAUGUGGUUUAAUUCGAUGCAACGCGAAGAACCUUACCAGGGCUUGACAUGUCGCGAAUCUGGCGGAAACGUUAGAGUGCCUUAGGGAACGCGAACACAGGUGGUGCAUGGCUGUCGUCAGCUCGUGUCGCGAGAUGUUGGGUUAAGUCCCGCAACGAGCGCAACCCUCGUCCUUAGUUGCCAAUAUUAAGUUAGGCACUCUAGGGAGACUGCCGGGGACAACUCGGAGGAAGGUGGGGAUGACGUCAAGUCAGCAUGCCCCUUACGUCCUGGGCGACACACGUACUACAAUGGUUGGGACAAAGGGCAGCAAGCUCGCGAGAGUAAGCGAAUCUCAUCAAACCCAGCCACAGUUCAGAUUGCAGGCUGCAACUCGCCUGCAUGAAGUAGGAAUCGCUAGUAAUCGCAGGUCAGCAUACUGCGGUGAAUUCGUUCCCGGGCCUUGUACACACCGCCCGUCACACCAUGGAAGCUGGCUACGCCCGAAGUCGUUACCCUGACCCGGUUUUGGGAGGGGGAUGCCGAAGGUAGAGCUAGUGACUGGGGUGAAGUCGUAACAAGGUAGCCGUACCGGAAGGUGUGGCUGGAUCACCUCCUUU